CGAAAGACUAAUCGAACCAUCUAGUAGCUGGUUCCCUCCGAAGUUUCCCUCAGGAUAGCUGGAACUCGUAAAGUUUUAUCAGGUAAAGCGAAUGAUUAGAGGAAUUGGGAAAGAAACUUUCUCGACCUAUUCUCAAACUUUAAAUAGGUAAGAAGCCAUGGUCACUUAAUUGGACCAGAGCAACGAAUUGGAGUUCCAAGUGGGCCAUUUUUGGUAAGCAGAACUGGCGAUGCGGGAUGAACCGAACGUCGUGUUAAAGUGCCAAAGUGUGCGCUCAUGUAGAUCCCAUAAACGGUGUUGAUUCAUUUAGACAGCAGGACGGUGGCCAUGGAAGUCGGAAUCCGCUA
RNAcentral lists this ribosomal RNA (347 nucleotides) under uncultured eukaryote. Its description in RNAcentral is "partial Eukaryotic large subunit ribosomal RNA". It matches the Rfam family "Eukaryotic large subunit ribosomal RNA", at positions 924 to 1273 of the family's 3401-position model. The record is from RNAcentral.